GCAAACAUAUUCCAUAUGCACCGGCUACUCUGACAAAUUGCAAAAGCAUUCUCAACUUCUCAUCCUCCGACCUCCGCCUCUCCUCUCCCCCGUCCCCACCACUAAACGACGAGACGAGAGAAGAGACGCCGCGCGCGGUGCCACGAUGCUGCUCCGGCGCCUCCUUGGCCCCUCCGGUGAGGUCUCCCGCCACCUCCGCUGCUCCCACUCUACGCUCGCCUCGCGCCCUGCCUGGGCCAUGGUGGUCAGCGAGCCGCAAGAAGAGGCGGCGGAGCUACGCGCGACCUUCCGCCUCGCAGAGCCCCCGCGCGCCUCCCAACUCCUGAUCCCCGUCGACGCCAUCAGCGCCCCCGAUAGCCAGAACCGCGGCAUCCAUGCCAAGGGAGAGUCCAUCUGUGCCGUCGUCGAGGAGGCGACCAGCGACGACGGCCUGAUCCUCCUCCGCGCCAUUGUUGUGCAAGCGCAACUGCCUGCCUCCGCCCAAGCGACGGCUCCCAACUUCCCAGGUUCGUCUCGGCUUCUGGGCCACGAGGACGAGAAGACCGUCGCCCGCGUCGUCUGCAACCCUCUCAGCGGCCAGCUGAUCCUCCUCCCGGACAUCGAGGGCACACGCAAGGGUUCGCCCGGUCUGGUGGGGUACGCCGGCUUGCUCACUCCAGCUGACCGCUGGGACGGGCCGCCCGACAGAUACGUGGUAGCCGAGGUCAGCGGCGACGACUUCGUCAUGCAUCGAUUUCUCUCGGAAACGGGGAGGUGGGACGCGAUGCAGGGAUUCUUGUCCCCACUGCCGGCUGCGCGCCCGAUCGUCGUGGAUCAGCCGGUGGUGGCUUUCGGCGGCCGGUUGUGGUGGAUCGACCUGGCCUGGGGCGCCGUCUCCGUCGACCCGUUUGCCGACGAACCGGAUUUCCGCUUCGUCGAGUUACCGAGCGGCAGAGUGCUGCCUGCAUCCAACAAGAUGAGCAACGAGAGGCGACGACGGAAGGUGAUUCUGAGCAGGCACCGGCGCAUCGGGGUCAGCGAGGGGAGGCUGCGGUAUGUUGAGGUCUCCGAGGGGGAUCCAUUCGUGCUCAGCUCCUUCGUGCUCGACGAAGAGGGCAGCUGCUGGACGAUGCAGCACUGUACGGCGCUGUUGUCGGAAGGGGCGCCCUUCCCGCAGAUGCCAGGCAUUGGUUGCAUCAAUCCGCUCAACUCCCAUCUCGUGUACAUCAUGGUCGGCAGAAUCGUUUUCGGCGUAGACAUGGAGAAGGGGAUGGCGAUUGGGCGUUCUGUGCUGGAUGAACCCUGCUGGCUGACACCCUGCGUGCUCCCGCCGUGGCUUGGGUCCAGCCGGAUCCCUUCUACAGGAACCCUUUUGAGCAAGAAGAUCGACGUUGAAAGCAAGACUUUGGAAGACAUGCUAGUCCGUGUAGAUAGAUGCAGUUUAAAAUGAGGUGCACUGGCUAAUUCAUCAUUUGUUACAUUUGUCUGCCUCCUAUGAUGGUGUUACCAUCUCUAAAGCUUAUACUCAUAUUGUGGUUACUUGAAAUUUACUGGUAGAGAUGUUCCAGAUAUUGUCUUUGAUGGUAGCAGUUUCUUGAAGUACCUGAACUCUCAUUUUGGGGGAUGCUAGGAGAAGUUUGGGUUUUGCCGUGCAUUUGGACUUUGCUGGUGCUAGCUGUUGAAUUUUGAGUGUCUGCUUUGAGAAAUGAGUGAGUUGGGGUUUACUGAAGAACUUUGUGGCCCUCAUUUUGACGAAUUAUGUCAAACAUUUUGCAACUUGUCUUUGCUGCCUAUGCUGUGAACGCUGUUUAAUUAAGGAUGUGUUUGGUUGGGGAGAUUUCAUGGGUUGGGAUGGAGCCAACCAGGUUUUGCCCUUGUUUGGUUUGGGAGUCGGAAGGAGUGGGUCGGACCUAGGAGGGAAUAUUCUAGCCAGAUUCGGGGUGGGAUGAUCCGGCAAAAUUUGCCGGACCGAGCCGACCCAGCAGCGUGCGCGGGCGCG
Oryza brachyantha (malo sina) is the source of this 1978-nucleotide RNA transcript. RefSeq lists it as uncharacterized. The transcript has 4 exons. Lineage: Eukaryota; Viridiplantae; Streptophyta; Magnoliopsida; Poales; Poaceae. The record is from RefSeq and is a predicted model, not a curated record.